RNAcentral lists this transfer RNA (75 nucleotides) under Flavobacteriales bacterium UBA4585. Its description in RNAcentral is "tRNA-Asn(gtt)". It matches the Rfam family "tRNA". Rfam says of the family: Transfer RNA (tRNA) molecules are approximately 80 nucleotides in length. Their secondary structure includes four short double-helical elements and three loops (D, anti-codon, and T loops). Further hydrogen bonds mediate the characteristic L-shaped molecular structure. tRNAs have two regions of fundamental functional importance: the anti-codon, which is responsible for specific mRNA codon recognition, and the 3' end, to which the tRNAs corresponding amino acid is attached (by aminoacyl-tRNA synthetases). tRNAs cope with the degeneracy of the genetic code in two manners: having more than one tRNA (with a specific anti-codon) for a particular amino acid; and 'wobble' base-pairing, i.e. permitting non-standard base-pairing at the 3rd anti-codon position. The record is from RNAcentral. Lineage: Bacteria; Pseudomonadati; Bacteroidota; Flavobacteriia; Flavobacteriales.
AUUUCCUUAGCUCAGUUGGUUAGAGCAUCUGACUGUUAAUCAGAGGGUCGCUGGUUCGAGCCCAGCAGGAGGAGC